Molecule: ribosomal RNA, 508 nt
Filed under: uncultured Glomeromycotina
Lineage: Eukaryota; Fungi; Glomeromycota
Description: partial small subunit ribosomal RNA
Rfam family: Eukaryotic small subunit ribosomal RNA
Source: RNAcentral
CCAAUAGCGUAUAUUAAGGUUGCUGCGGUUAAAAAGCUCGUAGUUGAAUUUCGGGAUUGAUGCAUCGGUCGUGCCUUAAGGGGUGUGAAUUGGUGUAGCCAAUUUCUUACCUUCUGGUGAAUUGUGAUGCCCUCAUUAAUUGGGUGUUUCAAUGACUAGGACUUUUUACUUUGAAAAAAUUAGAGUGUUUAAAGCAGGCAUUAUUUGCUUGAAUACAUUAGCAUGGAAUAAUAAAAUAGGACAAUGAUUCUAUUUUGUUGGUUUCUAGGAUCACUGUAAUGAUUAAUAGGGAUAGUUGGGGGCAUUAGUAUUCAAUUGUCAGAGGUGAAAUUCUUGGAUUAAUUGAAGACUAACUACUGCGAAAGCAUUUGCCAAGGAUAUUUUCAUUAAUCAAGAACGAAAGUUAGGGGAUCGAAGACGAUUAGGUACGUCGUAGUCUUAACCAUAAACUAUGCCGACUAGGAAUCAGACAACGUUAAAUUUUUAACGACUUGUUUGGCACCUUACG